This 832-nucleotide ribosomal RNA is filed under the name Burkholderia sp. TBS2-9_Pa. Its description in RNAcentral is "bacterial SSU rRNA". It matches the Rfam family "Bacterial small subunit ribosomal RNA", at positions 60 to 886 of the family's 1533-position model. Lineage: Bacteria; Pseudomonadati; Pseudomonadota; Betaproteobacteria; Burkholderiales; Burkholderiaceae. The record is from RNAcentral.
AGUCGAACGGCAGCACGGGAGCAAUCCUGGUGGCGAGUGGCGAACGGGUGAGUAAUACAUCGGAACGUGUCCUGGAGUGGGGGAUAGCCCGGCGAAAGCCGGAUUAAUACCGCAUACGCUCUAUGGAGGAAAGCGGGGGAUCUUUCGGGACCUCGCGCUCAAGGGGCGGCCGAUGGCAGAUUAGCUAGUUGGUGGGGUAAAGGCCUACCAAGGCGACGAUCUGUAGCUGGUCUGAGAGGACGACCAGCCACACUGGGACUGAGACACGGCCCAGACUCCUACGGGAGGCAGCAGUGGGGAAUUUUGGACAAUGGGCGCAAGCCUGAUCCAGCAAUGCCGCGUGUGUGAAGAAGGCCUUCGGGUUGUAAAGCACUUUUGUCCGGAAAGAAAACCUCUGGGUUAAUACCCCGGGGGGAUGACGGUACCGGAAGAAUAAGCACCGGCUAACUACGUGCCAGCAGCCGCGGUAAUACGUAGGGUGCGAGCGUUAAUCGGAAUUACUGGGCGUAAAGCGUGCGCAGGCGGUUCGUUAAGACAGAUGUGAAAUCCCCGGGCUUAACCUGGGAACUGCAUUUGUGACUGGCGGGCUAGAGUAUGGCAGAGGGGGGUAGAAUUCCACGUGUAGCAGUGAAAUGCGUAGAGAUGUGGAGGAAUACCGAUGGCGAAGGCAGCCCCCUGGGCCAAUACUGACGCUCAUGCACGAAAGCGUGGGGAGCAAACAGGAUUAGAUACCCUGGUAGUCCACGCCCUAAACGAUGUCAACUAGUUGUUGGGGAUUCAUUUCCUUAGUAACGUAGCUAACGCGUGAAGUUGACCGCCUGGGGAGUACGGC